RNAcentral lists this ribosomal RNA (337 nucleotides) under uncultured Paenibacillus sp. RNAcentral's name for it is "bacterial SSU rRNA". It matches the Rfam family "Bacterial small subunit ribosomal RNA", at positions 1046 to 1382 of the family's 1533-position model. Lineage: Bacteria; Bacillati; Bacillota; Bacilli; Caryophanales; Paenibacillaceae. The record is from RNAcentral.
UGGUUGUCGUCAGCUCGUGUCGUGAGAUGUUGGGUUAAGUCCCGCAACGAGCGCAACCCUCGACCUUAGUUGCCAGCAUUCAGUUGGGCACUCUAAGGUGACUGCCGGCUAAAAGUCGGAGGAAGUGGGGAUGACGUCAAAUCAUCAUGCCCCUUAUGACCUGGGCUACACACGUGCUACAAUGGGCGGUACAAAGGGUCGCGAACCCGCGAGGGGGAGCCAAUCCCAAAAAAGCCGCUCUCAGUUCGGAUUGCAGGCUGCAACUCGCCUGCAUGAAGCCGGAAUCGCUAGUAAUCGCGGAUCAGCAUGCCGCCGGUGAACUACGCUCCCGGGCCUU